This 253-nucleotide ribosomal RNA is filed under the name uncultured bacterium. Its description in RNAcentral is "partial 16S ribosomal RNA". It matches the Rfam family "Bacterial small subunit ribosomal RNA", at positions 524 to 776 of the family's 1533-position model. The record is from RNAcentral.
GACAGAGGUGCCGAGCGUUAGGCGGAAUCACUGGGCUUAAAGCGUGUGUAGGCGGACUUCUAAGUACCUUGUGAAAUCCCACGGCUUAACCGUGGAACUGCUUGGUAUACUGGUUGUCUUGGGCCAUCUAGGGGCUACCGGAACAAACGGUGGAGCGGUGAAAUGCGUAGAUAUGUGGAGGAAUACCGAUGGCGAAGGCAGCCCCCUGGGAUAACACUGACGCUCAUGCACGAAAGCGUGGGGAGCAAACAGG